Heterocephalus glaber (naked mole-rat) is the source of this 2261-nucleotide non-coding RNA. The record is from RefSeq and is a predicted model, not a curated record. NCBI's taxonomy places the organism in Eukaryota, Metazoa, Chordata, Mammalia, Rodentia, Bathyergidae.
AGAAUCGCCACUGUACAUCUCCUUUCUCUUAAAACCGUGUUCAUAAAACAUGGAGCCACCUAGGUAAAGGUCCUCGCUCUGCCGAGACCUUCUCGCUCAAUCCCUCUGCUUCCAAGACAUUCCUCAGUGACUCCCACAGUGAAUUCCGCAUCCUGUUUCGGCCCACCUUGCCGCGAGCGGAAGUGACGGUACCGGGGAUUGAACUCAGGACCUUGCGCUUCCAAGCAGGCGCAGCACCACUGAGGCACACCCACCCCCCAGCCCCACCCCCCGUUGAUGGGAGACACAGGCCCCGCCUCCUAUGAGCCACGUCUCCUAGCAGCAUGUCAGCCAGAAGCCAGUCACCUCCACAAGUCCGGCCUGUGCGCACCCAGGACUCUUGUGGGCCUCUAGAUGGAACCAUCAGUCUGCAGUCCUACGCAGACUCCUGCUGGAGGGACAGGUGCUGGAAGACACUCGGGAGGCUGCACCUGCAGUUCCCACCACACUCAGUCUUGCACCACAUCUGGGCUGAGAAUCUGCGCAUUACCAAGGAUCGUGGUGCAAAUGCUGCUCACAGCCUGCUCCAGGAACCCCACAGCAGAGCCUCUCAGGUGUGUGGCUUUUCUGGUCCUGAGGCAUCUCUUACAGUGACCACUCAGGAGGCCCUGGACAGCCAUCUUGCCUGCACCCAGCUACAGAUGACAGGAACACUUCGCUGAAGAUAUAAGAAGCCCUGUGGUGGCUGGACAGACUGUGCCCAGAGGUCAAGGUGCAAGGGUGGAGGAUGCCAUGUGUCCCCUGCACUUGGAGAGGACCUGGUGGCACAUGGCAGCAGCAGCAGCAGCAGGCAGAUUGUGCUGAGUAGAUGGACAAGGGUGAAGUGGCCAAGUGCCAAAGAGAGGUUGUGAGAAGCUCCUGAGGAAGGCAAGUCUGAAGGUGACCACUUGAGAUUUGGGCAAAGGAGAGGCUCUUCAGGGACAGCACAGGACAAUUUGGAGGCAGGAGAGAGAAAAAAAACCAGGGGAAACCACCUUGCAUGAGUUUUUGUGCUGAUGAGGUGCGAUGCAUUCUUUCAAUGCACCCAACUCAAGGGAGAGGAAGUGGUCAGCGCUUUUCACCUCCGUGGGCACCGUGGGCACGCAUGUCACAGUCAUCUGUUGGAGCUCAGGUUGUGACUCAGUAGGUCAAGGGGUGAUAGCUAGGGGGCGGUGCUGCCACCAGUCCCUGACAAUACUGGAAUAGAGAGGAUCCAGCGACAUUCUUUAUCAGCUGAAGCUUUGAAAAGAGAACUCCGCUUGACCCUAGGAGAGGAACUGCCUCCCAGUGGUGUGGAACAGAGGAUUUUCUCCAUACCUGGCAGGCCAAUUAUUUCAAUCUGAUAGUUAUAGUAAUAAUAGUAAUAAUAAUAGUAUUAAUAAUGCUGAUUCUCUAGGGAUCUGUUGCUUGAGGAGAAGCCUUAGUUUCUCUUCUCAUAUAAAUAUAUAUGCUUCCUACAGCUGUGUGACAAGUUGCCACAAGCUUCAUGGCUAACACAACACAAAUUCAUGAUAUUAAGUCGUGGAGGCUGGAAGUCUGAGCUGGGGCUCACUGAGCCAAACUCGGGCUGUGGCCUGAAGGCUGCUUCCUCUGGAGGCCCUGGGAGAGAAUUGCUUCCUUCCCUCCUUUGUGUCCAGCAGCUGCCCCAUUCCUUGGCAUGGCCUGAUCUCCAUCCUGGAAGCCAACUGAGGAGGUGGGGGGAUGGAUAACCCCUUCUCAUAUAUCACCCUGAUCCGACUCCCAUGCCUCUCUCUGUCAACUAGAAUGCUAGGGAUUACCAGGGGCCUCCAAUGAGUGCACUCAUCUCAUCCCGAGGUUGGUGAUUGCAACCCUAAGUGCCCUUGUCACCACAUGUGACAUGUAGGUUCACAGGCUCCAGGACAGUAUGUGAACAUCUUGGGAAGGGGGAAUGUAUAUACACACAUUUUUCCUUUCCGACACAAAUUAUAGCAAACCACACACUAUUCUGCAUCUUGUUCUUACUGCUCAACAUAUCUUGUAGAUGGUGCCAAGUAAGUACAUUAAGAUUGAGCUAUUUUUCCUCUUACACUGAACUGAUCACUAUUCCAGAGAUGGUGGUGCACACUUGUAAUCUCAGCACUCUGGGAGGCUGAGGCAGGAGAAUUGCAAAUGGCAGGAUGAUUGCAAAUUCGAGCCCAACCUGGUCAUUUUAUUGACUUAGACUCUGUCUCAAAAUAAAAAAUAAAAGGGCUGACAUAUAACUCAGUGUGAAAGUCCUGGGU